AUAGUUUGGUAUAUGUUGGCUGACAGAAAAGUCGCAAUAUGUCCAUAUCUUCAGAGGCGGUUGCUUCUACACUACCACAUACGGGGAAUCAAAGAUAAGCCUUCGUUCAACCUCAGAAUGAUGGGGUUUAUGUCAAAGAAGUUGUAAUGAGAAUUACAACUAUAAUUACACUUCGGCGUAAAGGGAAUGAAAUUAAGGUGUUCAACCUACCCGGAAUCCAAGUAUC
Malus domestica (apple) is the source of this 226-nucleotide non-coding RNA. The record is from RefSeq and is a predicted model, not a curated record. NCBI's taxonomy places the organism in Eukaryota, Viridiplantae, Streptophyta, Magnoliopsida, Rosales, Rosaceae.